CCUACGGGAGGCAGCAGUAGGGAAUUUUGCGCAAUGGGGGAAACCCUGACGCAGCAACACCGCGUGAAUGUUAAGCCCUUCGGGGUGUACAGGCCUGUCAAGAGGGACGAAUGUAGACAGUAUCUCUAAAGGAAGCACCGGCUAACUCCGUGCCAGCAGCCGCGGUGAUACGGGGGGUGCAAGCGUUGUCCGGAUUAAUUGGGCGUAAAGCGUUCGCAGGCGGUAUGUCAAGUCUGAUGUUAAAGCCCGGGGCUCAACUCCGGUACGGCAUUGGAUACUGGCAAACUAGAGUGUGGUAGAGGUAGAGGGAAUUCCUGGUGUAGCGGUGAAAUGCGUAGAUAUCAGGAGGAACAUCGGUGGCGAAAGCGCUUUACUGGACCAUUAUUGACGCUGAGGAACGAAAGCCAGGGGAGCAAAUGGGAUUAGAUACCCCUGUAGUC
RNAcentral lists this ribosomal RNA (440 nucleotides) under uncultured bacterium. RNAcentral describes it as "partial 16S ribosomal RNA". It matches the Rfam family "Bacterial small subunit ribosomal RNA", at positions 338 to 795 of the family's 1533-position model. The record is from RNAcentral.